This 253-nucleotide ribosomal RNA is filed under the name uncultured bacterium. RNAcentral's name for it is "partial 16S ribosomal RNA". It matches the Rfam family "Bacterial small subunit ribosomal RNA", at positions 524 to 776 of the family's 1533-position model. The record is from RNAcentral.
UACGGGGGGGGCAAGCGUUGUUCGGAAUUACUGGGCGUAAAGGGUUCGUAGGUGGCCUGCUAAGUCAGACGUGAAAUCCCUCAGCUUAACUGGGGAACUGCGUCUGAGACUGGUGGGCUUGAGUGCAGGAGAGGAACGCGGAAUUCCAGGUGUAGCGGUGAAAUGCGCAGAUAUCAGGAAGAACACCUAUGGCGAAGGCAGCUCUCUGGGACGGUACUGACGCUGAGACGCGAAAGCGUGGGGAGCGAACAGG